Molecule: ribosomal RNA, 236 nt
Filed under: uncultured bacterium
Lineage: Bacteria
Description: partial 16S ribosomal RNA
Rfam family: Bacterial small subunit ribosomal RNA
Source: RNAcentral
CACGGGUGCGUAACGCGUAUGCAACCUACCCUGUACUGGGGAAUAGCCCGGAGAAAUCCGGAUUAACACCCCAUAGCACUGAAUUACCGCAUGGUAUAUCAGUUAAAGGUUACGGUACGGGAUGGGCAUGCGUCCUAUUAGCUAGAUGGUAAGGUAACGGCUUACCAUGGCUACGAUAGGUAGGGGGCCUGAGAGGGUGGUCCCCCACACUGGUACUGAGACACGGACCAGACUCC